This is an RNA transcript of Alligator mississippiensis (American alligator), 5324 nucleotides long. It is a transcript of the gene named BICD family like cargo adaptor 1, with no coding region annotated. Lineage: Eukaryota; Metazoa; Chordata; Crocodylia; Alligatoridae. The transcript has 6 exons. The record is from RefSeq and is a predicted model, not a curated record.
CGGGGCAGCCUCACGAAGGGGGGGGUUCACAAGGGCGGCGGGCGAGGCCCGAGGCGGGUGGCGGUGGUGCUGGACCGAGGCAACUGUCCUCGGGGGCCGCAGCGCUGGUGCUGGCGCCGGGCAACGGGGCGAGCCUGCUGCUGCUUCACCGCAGCGUCACGGCUGGCGGGGCGGGGGGCUCCCUUGAGCGUCGCCCCGUGACCUCGCGCCGCUGCCCCGGGCUCCAGCGGCUGCUCCCAGCCCGGCGGAGCCUCGUCCUUCCUGCCUGAGGGCUUGUGGGCCGGCUUCACGCUAAUCGCUGUGGCUCUUUGGGCUUCCACCUUGCCUGUCACAAACCCGUGGUCAUCCCCGCUCCGCGAGGCUGCUGUCAGGCUAGGCUGGUAUCUGGUUUUUGGGCCACCCUGACCUGAGAGGUGGUCCCUGCGCGUGAAUUCCACCAGGCCUAACUGCUUUGCUGAUUCGCUUCUUUCCCCUCCUAGAACGAGAUAUUUAUUCCAAACUUUGUUAAAAAGUGACUUCAUAGACUAGGAGGAAGAAGAGCUCUUUCACUGUGGCAGACAGUAAUGCCAACUCUUGAAAAAAUUUCAAGACUCCUGAUUUCCAAGUCAAAUUAACUCAUGAUUUCCUGAUAAAGACACCAAAUCUCCGGAUUUUUUUUCUUUAUAUGUAUGUAGAGAGCACCAAGCUGAGAAUACUAGGCAGGAAAGACAACUGAGGUCAAGUGACCCCAGCGAGGUGACCAUCCAGUCUCCUUUUGAAGAUUUCCAGGACUCCCCCAAAGUUGUAGCUCCAGGCUAAAUUCCGCUUAUGCUGAGAUGUUGAGCACUGAACUCCUGACAUCAUCAAAUGGGAUUCAUGUGUCAGAAGGACACCAACGUGGGAGGCAGACUGCAUUAGGGUAUAAAGCUAACAGUGAAGAAUAAACAGAAAACAGUUGACAGCAGACAGGAAGUGAAAAGCUCAACUCUGGUGAGAAAAAAAUGAGCAGUUCUGUAUACAGAUCUGUGAGUUCCAUCUGCCAGAAAGCACAGAAGCAAAGAAGGGUGUCGGAUACUAGGUAAGCAAGAGGUCUUUUUGCUUACUUCACUAUUUUUUCAUUUCAUAGUCUGGGUUCUGGGCCAUUCUUCCACUUGGUUCUUUUUGGGAGAAUAGCAACUUCCAAGAUCCCUGGAGAAUGGCAUAUUCAUUUCAAAGCAUGUGCUUAAUUGGAAUCAUUGUCAUUGGAAUUUAAUCUACCUUUUUGUUGCUUAUUCCACUUUCACACCUAUCAAGGUUUCUCAGUUGAGGAAGAGAAUGGGCUGUGGCUUAUACAACAGCUCAGACAUUAUUUUUAUUUUCAUCUUUGUUUGUUCUGUGAACAAGAUUGUACAUCUGAAUGAUUAGGGUAAUGGUUCUCAACCUUUUUAGACUCCAAUCACACCACAUUAGACUCAAGGCACACUUCAGAAAAUGCCAGCUCUUAGCUUUCACUUAUUCUUUUGACUAUGGAAAUAUAAUAGAGCAAUUCUUCAGUUGCAAAAAGCACAAUAGAGACAACAACAGGUCAGAAUGUUUUUGACAGUAUGGAUUCCUAGUUGAAAUUUCUGGGUUAACUUGUCAGUCAUGUGUCGGUGUUUGCACAGCUAACAGUGCUAAUAUUGUGUGGCAACCCACAGCACCCUUAGUGAUCUCACGACACCCAAAGAUACCAGACACCUGGGUUGAAAAUCACUGCAUUAGGGAGAUGAACUUUACUGAAGAUGAUUUAUCUAGUUAAAUCAGAUGAUUUAUCUGGUUAAUACAUAUGAAUAUAUAUGCAAAUACUAAUAUAAAAUAGCAGUGGGCUCAAGUGCCAAAUCCUGUAACUAUAUUUUUCCAGUUGUUAGUACCUAGACAUAGAAGGCUCCCAAAAUGUUAUGUCGAGAAAUAUACUUUUUAUUUUUUUUCCUUGUUCCUAUUAACAGCUUCCCAUUUUUCAGGCAUAGGGCUCUUUAGAUAAACCUGAGACUAUAAGUCACCCACUUUCCACUGAGAGGCAAUGGGAGCGGGAUGUGACUAACUCCCAAUGAAAAUCCCAUCUGUAGAUUGCAAAGCACCAGAGAUCAUUCUGGAUAAUGCCAUUAUAUGAAUAUAAGAUUAUAAUGCUUAUCCUUGUCUGCUUUUCAUGUGUGUGUAGAUUUUUAAUUUAUUAAAAUAUUUUACAAGAUAGAAUAAUAAGAGGUCAGUAUAUAAAGUAGUUAAAAGCAAUACAGUAAUCUACUUCCAGAAAGGCAAUCAGUUAUUAAAUUCAAAGGACAAUGAUGGAUUUUCUGAAGUAUAAAUUAAUAGAUGACCACGAGGUUACCAAACAAUUCAUAGACAUUUACAGGGGAUAACAAACUGAAUAGAAUAGUAUACAGUUUGCAAUACCUAAAUGAAAGCUGAGUGUGUGCAUGAAUAUGAUUCUAACAUCUCUGUAAUAAAUAUUGUUUGUUUACAUGGGCUUAUUUCUUCUUCCAAGCAAUCACCUUUACCCUGUAUCCAACAGCUUGUAGCUAAAAGAGUUCUGUUUGAGGCUUUGUUUUGGGGAUUAAAACUGUUUCACUAUAAUCUCUGUUUUUGUUUUAUAAACUGACGGAGGCAUUAGAGAUGAAAAUUAAUGCCACUGUGGAUUCAUUAAUCAUACUAGAAGGCUUGCUUUGUUAUAAUAAGCUCUUCCAGCAGAAGGCGCACAUAAUCAGUUUGGAUUUUAAAUUCAAUCCCCUAUUUAAAAAGAAGAACCUGGAGAAGCAUGGCUUCUGUUCUGGGUUCUUUUAAAGAGUGCCAUACUGUACAAAUAAUUUUGCAUUAUAGCAUGCCUUGCUUUCCAACAGUAACGACUCAUUGAUUAAAGAAGAAGGGUCUAGGGAACUGAAUGUUUGGAGUCUGAUAAUGAGAUAUAUAGUAUUUUGUCCAUAAGUCCCUAACUCAAAUGGAACUCAUGGUAAUAGUGGUCAACCACUAUUAGCACCAUUUGCUUGCUGCUGGUGGCAAGUAUAAAAUGACUUAGUGAGUCUCAAUCUACUUUUUAGUGAACAGGUGUUUUUAUAAAAAAAAAAAAAAAACCAUCACCACAGCUGGUAUUAACUGAUAUUGUCAAGAAAAAGGCCAAGGAUUGAGAAGGCAUGUUAACUAAAUUACCUUCAGAGUGAUUCCCCAAGUGUAGGGUUAGGGCCCUCUGGCAGAUGGCUAGAGGGAAGUUUGCCUAUCCACAAUUCAUGCUUUUUGUGGAUAAACAGAAGAUUUUCAGGCUUUUCAGUCUGAUAUAUGAGCAUUAGAAAGAGGGAUAAAGCUCAGUUAUAAAUCAGGAUUAGCUGCUCUGCACCAACUAAAUGUGUCUUAGCUAUUGAUAUUUAGGAAUAGUUUUAUAUAGAUGGAGGAUAUUCUGUGGGGAGAAGAGUUUAGUGACAAGGUUAAAUGAAAUAAAGCUGCAUAAAUCUCAUUAAACAAAUGUUUUAGGUCAAAAGUACAGAUUUCCCUAAAGAUGCCUCCAUUUGACCAAAGCUGAAGUAUCACCUUUUUCAUCAGUACAAAUUUAGAUAAUUUGAAAUCUUAGUCCAUGCACAUUGUCCCUUUCCCCCAUCAUUUACAUGACAGAAAAUUAGGAUUAGGUGUGGACCUUAAAAAAAACUUCAAUGAUAAUGAGGGAGCUUGAUUAUUCAGAGAUUCCCAAUUCCCUUGUGGUAUCUAAUUUCAGAGAGGAAACUGUUAAUAUAGCUGACUACACUUCCCAGCAUUCAGUGAAUCUGCCUUUAAAAUAUGCUGUCUGGGUAGGAGAGUAAUAAUCUGAAAUCAAAAAUCAGCCUCAGUGGUUUUUGGGAGUUGUAGUCAAAAUAAACUAUUGGGCAAGGUAAACUGUUGGCCAAAAAAAUGUUCAGGGACAUUCUCUUAACCUAACAUGCCUAACUGGGACAUCUAGAGGAGCAAAUAAGACUCUAUGGAGUAGCAUAAUACAACUUUAGAGAGUGCAAGACUCUCUUGAAGGGUUUUAGAUAAGAUAGUAUCUUCCUUGGCUUCAGGCCUACAAAGCUUAGGUCUCACUUUUCACACCAGAUACAGAACAGGAUUUGUGGGUGUUAAAAAUAAUCUGUUUUUGCUUCUGAAAUCCUCUUUUAAUCAUUAAAAAGAGAAGAAACAACUGUGGCUGAACCACCUUUAUGGUGAAUGUGUACAGUGUGAUUUCAUAUAUUGAUUUGACCAAUAGUGUUAUUUUUUUCAGAUAUGACUACAAAAGCAUACAACAGAAUUUUCCAAAUGUUUAAAAAUAAAAUAUGUACACCAAUUAAAAACUAGAUUUUAAUGAACUGUUAUAUUUUACAGUUGUUAUUAAAAAGUUUUGAUGAAAGGCUAUGCCUGUAGCCAAACAUUUAUAAAGCGAGUCCCCGCUUUGCUGCUGUAAGAGAUAAAUUGUUUUGUUAAUGACUUACAUCAAAAGAUCUCCAGCAGUUAUUUUCUCAAUAGGUUUAAAAAGUAGGCAUUGGUAUAUUAUCCAUUUUAUAGAUGAAUACAUUGCUAGAUAGAGAAUAGGGUAUUUUUUUUUUCAAAAGUGGCAUCUAAAUUUUCAUGACUAAUUUGGUUGCCUAACUUUAGACACCUAAUGUAUAAUUUCCAAAAGACUGAGCAUAUACAGUUCCAGUUGAGCCAUAGCUGUCUAAAGUUGGGAAACACAAGCAAGAAGCCAGCUGUGAAAAUUUGGGCCCAACUAGUCAGCUCCAAAAUCACAAAUAAACAGGAAUCCUGUGCUCUCCUAGUUCUGUGAUGUGAUCUGUAAAUUAGAUUAUUCACUUUAUUAAGCAUGGAUCUCAAAGCACAGCCAAAGAUCCUGAUUUUCAGGAACCAAUUUUAGACAGAAUAAAAUUCAACAUCAGGGAUGUUAUUGGACUCUGAAAGAUUUUAAUUGGUCAUGAUUUAUAGUAAUAGAGGUAGCAUUGUUUAGAGGACUGAACAACCCCAAAAGCUAAAAAUUCCUUAGAGGGAAAUUUGACUUUGCUCAAGACUUAUGUAGUCUUGGCCAAGCAAAUCAAACUCUUCCUGCCUGUUUUAUCAUCUGUAAAAUGGUGUUAUUACUUAUAUUUCUGUUGGAGGUUGCAAAGUUUCAUUCAUUAAUACAAUGCCUUGAAUUCUUCAAAUGGAAGGUGUUAUAUAGAGGGGGGGCAUUGGUGUCACUUAAUAUGUUAAAGAGCUUUUAAGAUGUUAAACCUUCUAAACCUGCUAAGCAUUUUUAUAGAUAAAUAUCUGUAGAGCAUUUUAAAGAUAAAGCCGUAGUAAUUUCCAGGGUACCCCAGCUCCCCAGUAUCCAGGUGGCAAAUGAUGUAAAAUUAAAGCUU